This 1188-nucleotide long non-coding RNA is filed under the name Salmo trutta (river trout). RNAcentral's name for it is "lncRNA (ENSSTUG00000007385.1)". The record is from RNAcentral. Lineage: Eukaryota; Metazoa; Chordata; Actinopteri; Salmoniformes; Salmonidae.
CUGUCCGGCCCGUCCCUGCUCCCCGCACCAAGCCAUGGUAUGCAGAGUUGCGCGCUGUGUCACCAGUGCGCCCGCACUGCCCAGUGCGUCCGGUGGACAUGCCCAGCACAUGCCGUGCUAGGAUGGGCAUCCAGCCAGGACGAGUGGCUAAACCGGCUCCAUGCUUCAGGUCACCAGUACGUGUUCACAGUCCUGUCUGGCCCGUCCCUGCUCCCCGCACCAGGUUAGUGGUGCGUGUCCCCAGUCCUGUCCGGCCCGUCCCUGCUCCCCGCACCAGGUUAGUGGUGCGUGUCCCCAGUCCUGUCCGGCCCGUCCCUGCUCCCCGCACCAGGUUAGUGGUGCGUGUCCCCAGUCCUGUCUGGCCCGUCCCUGCUCCCCGCACCAAGUCAGUGGUGCGUGUCCCCAGUCCGGUCCGGCCCGUCCCUGCUCCCCGCACCAAGUCAGUGGUGCGUGUCCCCAGUCCUGUCCGGCCCGUCCCUGCUCCCCGCACCAGGUUAGUGGUGCGUGUCCCCAGCCCGGCCCGUCCCUGCUCCCCGCACCAGGUUAGUGGUGCGUGUCCCCAGUCCUGUCCGGCCCAUCCCUGUUCCCCGCACCAAGCCCACGGUGCGUGGCCACAGUCCUGUCCGGCCCGUCCCUGUUCCCCGCACCAAGCCCACGGUGCGUGUCCACAGUCCUGUCCGGCCCGUCCCUGUUCCCCGCACCAAGCCCACGGUGCGUGUCCACAGUCCUGUCCGGCCCGUCCCUGUUCCCCGCACCAAGCCCACGGUGCGUGUCCACAGUCCUGUCCGGCCCGUCCCUGUUCCCCGCACCAAGCCCACGGUGCGUGUCCACAGUCCUGUCCGGCCUGUUCCUGUUCCCCGCACCAAGCCCACGGUGCGUGUCCACAGUCCGGCACGGCCCGUGUCUGGUCCACCGGUGCCCAAUCAUGUUCCGGUCGACGGCUCCGCUCCGGAGCCUGAGCAUGCCGCUCCACAGUGGUCCAGUCCGGGCCAGAGGGGUAGGGCUAGGGUGGAGGCAGGGGGAGAAACACGCCCGGGGCCAGAGCCUCCACCGAGGGUGAGGCGCCCACCCGGGUCCCCCCCCUAAUAGACUUUAGUUUGGUGCGCCGGGAGUACGCACCGUUGGAGGGGGGGUACUGUCACGCCCUGACCAGGUGAACUCUGCUAUUUUGGUCAGGGUGUGGCAUUU